GGCUGGUUCGAUGGUAGUGGGUUAUCAGAACUUAUUAAUGUUAAUGUCACAAAAGUUGGUGUUAACCCCCCACUGCUAAAAUCUGACUGGCUAAAA
Gorilla gorilla gorilla (western lowland gorilla) is the source of this 96-nucleotide unclassified non-coding RNA. It matches the Rfam family "Y RNA". From Rfam's summary of the family: Y RNAs are components of the Ro ribonucleoprotein particle (Ro RNP), in association with Ro60 and La proteins. NCBI's taxonomy places the organism in Eukaryota, Metazoa, Chordata, Mammalia, Primates, Hominidae. The record is from Ensembl.